UGAAUAUGGCCUCUCUUUUUUUUUUUAAUUUAAACAUGAAACACUUAAAUCAUAUAGGCUUUAUUUUUUUCCUGUUCUCUUUGACUGAAUCCCUAGCCCUACCCACAAAGCCUCAGGACAUAGAUCACCUCAGCGCUACCCAGAAAUUCAUAGACGAGAACACCGCUUACCUGACCAUUAUCGCAGUUUCUCAGUAUGUUCAGGAAGCAUCCUUUGAUGAGGUGGAAAUGCUGGUGAGAGCCAUGGUGGAUCACAAGAAUAGGUGCUUGGCUGACAGUACACUUCCGGAGUGUUCAAAAGCAGCUAACGAGGCUAUACAGGACUCAAUCUGCGCUAUGGAGGGGCUGCCCCAGAAGCGUAACUUUUCUCACUGCUGUGACAACGCCAGCAUUCCAAGAAGACUGUGUUUCUUCUUCAACAAGAAAGCUAACGUGGAAUUUCUACCCCCUUUCCCUACUCUGGAUCUAGAAGUGAAAUGCCAAUCUUAUAAAAAUAACAGUGAAUCUUUUCUAAACCACUAUAUGUAUGAGGUUGCCAGGAGGAACCCCUUUGCCUUCGCCCCUGUUCUUCUAACUGUCGCUGCUCGGUUUGAAGAGGCAGCGACCACGUGCUGUGAGCAGCAGCAAAAGGCCAUCUGCUUUCAAGUCAAGGCAGCUCCAAUCACACAAUAUUUAAAAGCAUUGUCUUCUUAUCAAAAAACUGUUUGUGGAGCCUUUAUGAAAUUUGGACCCAACAUCUUAAACUCUAUAAACAUUGCUGUAUUCAGUAAAAAAUUCCCCAAGAUUGGGUUUGAGGACCUUACUUCCCUCUUAGAAGACGUUCAUUCUAUGUAUGACGGAUGCUGUGAAGGGGAUGUUCUGCAGUGCCUCCGAAGCCAGAGCCAGGUGAUGAGUCAUAUUUGUUCAAAACAAGAUUCCAUCUCAAGUAAAAUCAAAGAGUGCUGUGGAAAGAGAACACCGGAGCGUGAAGACUGCAUAAUCAACACGAACAAGGACGACAGACCUGAAGGCUUAUCUCCCAGAGAACCCAAAUUUACUGACAGUGAAAAUGUGUGUCAAGAACGAGAUUCUAACCCGGACAAGUUCUUUGCUGAGUUUACUUAUGAAUACUCCAGGAGACAUGCUGAACUGUCUACACCGGAGCUUCUAAGAAUUACUAAAGUGUAUAAGGAUCUCCUGGAAGAUUGCUGCAGCAGAGAAAGCCCGGCAGCUUGUUACCGCCAUGCGGAGGAUAAAUUCAAUGAGACAACUGAGAGAAGCUUUGCAAUGGUUCAGCGGGAAUGCAGACACUUCCAGGAGCUGGGGAAGGAUGCUCUGAGAUCCCAUUACCUUGCCAAGUUCACGAAGGCAGCCCCUCAGCUCUCUGUGGAAGAACUGAUCUCCCUUAGUAAGGAAAUGGUGGCAGCGCUGGCAACCUGCUGCACCCUGAGUGAAGAGUUCGCUUGUGUCGAUAGCUUGGCGGAUUUGGUUCUUGGAGAAUUAUGUGGAAUAAAUGAAAACCGAACUAUCAAUCCUGCUGUGGACCAGUGCUGCAAGGCAGACUUCGCUUUCAGAAGGCACUGCUUUGAGCGUCUGAAAGCUGACACAACCUAUGUGCUCCCAUCGGUCUCUGCACUUGUAUCUGCUUUGGAUGCAGACUGGUGCCAGACUUACCAGGAGGACCUUCAGGAUAAGAAAGACAGGUUUAUGGUCAACUUGGUGAAGUGGAUGCCAGAGAUAAUGGAUGAGGAGCGCUUAUGUUUGCUCGCAAAGUUCACGGCUGCUGGGGAGAAGUGUGGCCAAGUGCAGGAGCCUGAAGCCUGUUUCAGCCCAGCGGUAGGGUUCAAAAAUUGAUAAUGAAAGUCAGGCUGCUGAGAAGCAAAUAUAAAUAUGAGAGCGUUCUUUUGUCUGAAUCAGAAAAGAGAGUCAGCCGAGUCUCUAGAGAGCCAGUACCAGCUUACAGUCUCCUUCUCUGUUCUGAAGUUCAGUUCCUAAGAAGAAGGGAAUAGAAGGUUCUUCUGUAACCCUUACUUGAAUCAUGUUCCUGUAAAAGGCAAUAAAGUGAAAGUAUAAUGAUA
Meriones unguiculatus (Mongolian gerbil) is the source of this 2056-nucleotide RNA transcript. It is a transcript of the gene named afamin, with no coding region annotated. The record is from RefSeq and is a predicted model, not a curated record. Lineage: Eukaryota; Metazoa; Chordata; Mammalia; Rodentia; Muridae. The transcript is spliced from 16 exons.